GAUGAACGCUGGCGGCGUGCCUAAUACAUGCAAGUCGAGCGAACAGUCGAGGAGCUUUCUCCUCUGACUUUAGCAGCGGACGGGUGAUUAACACGUGGAUAACCUACCUAUAAGACUGGGAUAACUUCGGGAAACCGGAGCUACUACCGGAUAAUAUAUUGCACCGCAUGGGUCCCUAGUGAAAGACGGUUUUGCUUUCGCUAAAAGCUUACUACGCGCCGCAUUCGCUGGUUGGUAAGGUAACGGCUUAGCAAGGCAACGAGGGUUACCCGACCUGAGCGCGUGAUCGCACAGACUGGAACUGAGACAGGGCAGAGACUCCGGCGGGAGGCAGCAGUAGGGAAUCUUACGCGAUGGGGGAAUGCCUGACGGAGCAACGCCGCGGGAGUGAUGGAGCAGUUCGGAUGGGAAAACUAUGUUAUUAGGAAAGAACUAAUGUGCAAUUAACUAUGAACGUCUUGACGGUACCUGAACAGAAAGCCACGGCUAACUACGUG
This 497-nucleotide ribosomal RNA is filed under the name uncultured bacterium. RNAcentral's name for it is "partial 16S ribosomal RNA". It matches the Rfam family "Bacterial small subunit ribosomal RNA", at positions 28 to 507 of the family's 1533-position model. The record is from RNAcentral.